Molecule: ribosomal RNA, 406 nt
Filed under: uncultured bacterium
Lineage: Bacteria
Description: partial 16S ribosomal RNA
Rfam family: Bacterial small subunit ribosomal RNA
Source: RNAcentral
AUUGAACGCUGGCGGCAGGCCUAACACAUGCAAGUCGAGCGAGCGGCGGACGGGUGAGUAAUGUCUGGGAAACUGCCCGAUGGAGGGGGAUAACUACUGGAAACGGUGGCUAAUACCGCAUACCAUCAGAUGUACCCAUAUGGGAUUAGCUAGUAGGUGGGGUAAUGGCUCACAUAGGCGACGAUCCCUAGCUGGUCUGAGAGGAUGAUCAGCAACACUGGAACUGAGACACGGCCCAGACGCCUACGGGAGGCAGCAGUGGGGAAUAUUGCACAAUGGGCGCAAGCCUGAUGCAGCCAUGCCGCGUGUGUGAAGAAGGCCUUCGGGUUGUAAAGUACUUUCAGCGAGGAGGCGUUACCCGCAGAAGAAGCACCGGCUAACUCCGUGCCAGCAGCCGCGGUAAUAC